Molecule: ribosomal RNA, 468 nt
Filed under: uncultured bacterium
Lineage: Bacteria
Description: partial 16S ribosomal RNA
Rfam family: Bacterial small subunit ribosomal RNA
Source: RNAcentral
GAUGAACGCUGGCGGCGUGCUUAACACAUGCAAGUCGAACGGUGACGGCGGAGCUUGCUCUGCUGGAUCAGUGGCGAACGGGUGAGGAACACGUGAGCAAUCUGCCCCUGACUUUGGGAUAAGCGCUGGAAACGGCGCCUAAUACUGGAUACGAGCUGCGAAGGCAUCUUCAGCAGCUGGAAAGCAGUGCGGUCAGGGAUGAGCUCGCGGCCUAUCAGCUUGUUGGUGAGGUAAUGGCUCACCAAGGCGUCGACGGGUAGCCGGCCUGAGAGGGUGACCGGCCACACUGGGACUGAGGCACGGACCAGACUCCUACGGGAGGCAGCAGUGGGGAAUAUUGCACAAUGGGCGAAAGCCUGAGGCAGCAACGCCGCGUGAGGGACGACGGCCUUCGGGUUAUAAACCUCUUUUGGCAGGGAAGAAGCGAAAGUGACGGUACCUGCAGAAAAAGCGCCGGCUAACUACGUG